RNAcentral lists this ribosomal RNA (512 nucleotides) under uncultured bacterium. Its description in RNAcentral is "bacterial SSU rRNA". It matches the Rfam family "Bacterial small subunit ribosomal RNA", at positions 28 to 533 of the family's 1533-position model. The record is from RNAcentral.
GAUGAACGCUAGCGGGAGGCUUAACACAUGCAAGUCGAGGGGCAGCACGAGAUAGCAAUAUUUUGGUGGCGACCGGCGCACGGGUGAGUAACACGUAUGCAACCUACCUCGUACAGGGGGAUAACCCGGAGAAAUUCGGACUAAUAUCCCAUAAUAAUAUUGAAAGGCAUCUUUUAAUAUUUAAAGCUCAGGCGGUAUAGGAUGGGCAUGCGGAACAUUAGCUAGUUGGUAGGGUAACGGCCUACCAAGGCUACGAUGUUUAGGGGACCUGAGAGGGUUAUCCCCCACACUGGUACUGAGACACGGACCAGACUCCUACGGGAGGCAGCAGUGAGGAAUAUUGGUCAAUGGGCGCAAGCCUGAACCAGCCAUCCCGCGUGAAGGAAGAAGGCCCUAUGGGUUGUAAACUUCUUUUCCAGGGGGUGAAUAAUUCCGAUGUAUCGGGAGAUGACGGUACCCUGGGAAUAAGCAUCGGCUAACUCCGUGCCAGCAGCCGCGGUAAGACGUAGCGU